This 184-nucleotide ribosomal RNA is filed under the name uncultured Staphylococcus sp. Its description in RNAcentral is "partial 16S ribosomal RNA". It matches the Rfam family "Bacterial small subunit ribosomal RNA", at positions 156 to 334 of the family's 1533-position model. Lineage: Bacteria; Bacillati; Bacillota; Bacilli; Caryophanales; Staphylococcaceae. The record is from RNAcentral.
ACCGGAGCUAAUACCGGAUAAUAUAUUGAACCGCAUGGUUCAAUAGUGAAAGACGGUUUUGCUGUCACUUAUAGAUGGAUCCGCGUCGCAUUAGCUAGUUGGUAAGGUAAUGGCUUACCAAGGCAACGAUGCGUAGCCGACCUGAGAGGGUGAUCGGCCACACUGGAACUGAGACACGGUCCAG